Molecule: long non-coding RNA, 1377 nt
Filed under: Drosophila guanche
Lineage: Eukaryota; Metazoa; Arthropoda; Insecta; Diptera; Drosophilidae
Source: RNAcentral
CUUCGAACGUGAUGAGGUGGGCCUCUCUUGUCGUCCUUAGGGGUCCAUUGUCAACGCUGACCGUUGCUCGCUGCCCAUUUAUGAUGAUUAUGCCAUCGUCCACUACUACAGCAUUGAUGCAACAGGAUGGUGGUGGCCAGGUGGCUGGGUUGCGUGCGUCAUGAAGCAGAGCCGCCGGCGUGUACUUCGCGACAUAAAGACAAUUUUAACCUGGGAGUAUUCUACUUAAAUAUGAAAUGAAAAAUUCUUAUAUUCUUACAUACUCCCAACAAAUAAGCUACUGGGACCUCUGUGAGCUGUUCGGUAAAAAUAGAUUUUAGGUCUUAGUGGGAUAUUCGCUUUGGCAAGUGUGAUCGUAAUCAUGAGAUUUGGACUACCGAAAUUAGCAUCCUGUUUCUGUGCCUCUGUGUUAAUCAGUACUCAGUUAAUCAGUCUAUGAUUCUACAAGCUGCUAUUUUUUCGAAGCCCAACUCGUCGGGGGUACUUGCUACGACCUUUAAUGCUGUUAUCAGGAAGUCUAGGCUUCUGGCCAUGUAUCAUUAAAGCGGACAACGGAUUUUUUUAUGUUCUAUAUCUGAAUGUGGGAACAACUCCAACAUUUUAACUGUAUAAAAGGCGAUGAUCCGCGCAGUUGUAGUAGAAGGGAGUAGGAAGAGUAUUCCGUCAAACCUGCGGGAAUGAUACCUUAAAUCUGUAAAACAAAAGUUUGAAUUAUUUCAGAUUGUUCUUAUGGACCACCCUCCCCUUAAUUAGAACUGCCGUUCCAAGGUCCGCUUGUACCCGUUCUUCUGAGUACAGCGGGGUCUUUUGUUAUUCCUUGGGUAAACCUUUUCACCCACUUCAAAGACUCUGUUCUGCCUCGAGAUGUUAAACCUGUCGAUAUUGGCCUUUUGUGCCUUAUCAAUUCUGGUUCUAAUUGCUAACUUCAGAUCGUUGUUGCUUACAUGGAUUGCUUCUACAGGCUUCUGGUCUAUGACCGAAUGUAGUGUCCUGUUGUAUUCUACAGUGGCGCGCAUGAUUAGCUCGACGGUGUCCUCAAUCUUUUGGUCGAGUUCUAUGCACCUUGCUAUCUCUGCCAACGUGCUGUGAAAUCUCUCUACUUGUAGGUUAUUAAUGUUUUGUCUGGACAAGGCGUCGACCACGAAGUUUUCCUUACCCGGUUUGUAGAACACCUUAGCGUUAUGUUCCUCUAUAAAGGCUUUCCACCGUUUGAUUUUGGCAUUUGUGUUCCUAUCGGACACAGCAAAUGUGAAGGGCUGGUGAUCGGUAAAGAUUCUUACUUCCUUGGUACCGUAUAAGUAAUUUUGUAACUUCCCUAUAGCCCAUACAAUUGCCAACAAUUCCCUUUCGUUUGUGGCGUAGUUUACUUCACAAUCU